CACCUGCAACACAAGUGAUAGCCAGUUUUAUUGGGCUUAAAGCGUUCGUAGCCUGCUGAGUAGGUUCUCGGUGAAAUCGUUGCUCUUAAAGUAACGGCGUGCUGGGAAUACCGCUUAGCUAGGGACCGGGAGAGGUAUGAGGUAUGCCUUGGGUAGGGGUGAAAUCCUGUAAUCCUUGGUGGACCAUCUGUGGCGAAGGCGUCAUACUGGAACGGGUCCGACGGUGAGGAACGAAAGCUAGGGUAGCAAAGCGGAUUAGAUACCCCUGUA
Molecule: ribosomal RNA, 270 nt
Filed under: uncultured prokaryote
Description: partial 16S ribosomal RNA
Rfam family: Archaeal small subunit ribosomal RNA
Source: RNAcentral